Molecule: ribosomal RNA, 497 nt
Filed under: uncultured bacterium
Lineage: Bacteria
Description: partial 16S ribosomal RNA
Rfam family: Bacterial small subunit ribosomal RNA
Source: RNAcentral
GAUGAACGCUGGCGGCGUGCCUAAUACAUGCAAGUCGAGCGAACAGACGAGGAGCUUGCUCCUCUGACGUUAGCGGCGGUCGGGUGAGUAACACGUGGAUAACCUACCUAUAAGACUGGGAUAACUUCGGGAAACCGGAGCUAAUACCGGAUAAUAUAUUGAACCGCAUGGUUCAAUAGUGAAAGACGGUUUUGCUGUCACUUAUAGAUGGAUCCGCGCCGCAUUAGCUAGUUGGUAAGGUAACGGCUUACCAAGGCAACGAUGCGUAGCCGACCUGAGAGGGUGAUCGGCCACACUGGAACUGAGACACGGUCCAGACUCCUACGGGAGGCAGCAGUAGGGAAUCUUCCGCAAUGGGCGAAAGCUUGACGGAGCAACGCCGCGUGAGUGAUGAAGGUCUUCGGAUCGUAAAACUCUGUUAUUAGGGAAGAACAAAUGUGUAAGUAACUAUGCACGUCUUGACGGUACCUAAUCAGAAAGCCACGGCUAACUACGUG